Molecule: small nucleolar RNA, 126 nt
Organism: Gigantopelta aegis
Lineage: Eukaryota; Metazoa; Mollusca; Gastropoda; Neomphalida; Peltospiridae
Source: RefSeq, a predicted model, not a curated record
UUGCACUGAAAAGUGUCAUGUGAUGGCUAUAUUUGUCAUGUGUCUCAUUCCAGUGCUAAAUUAAAGUGGAUAUUUAGAAUAGCAUGCUCAUAGUGUUGUGAGUGUUUUGUAUUUAUCCAUACAUUA